RNAcentral lists this ribosomal RNA (254 nucleotides) under uncultured bacterium. RNAcentral describes it as "partial 16S ribosomal RNA". It matches the Rfam family "Bacterial small subunit ribosomal RNA", at positions 79 to 334 of the family's 1533-position model. The record is from RNAcentral.
CUAAGGCCGAUGGCGACCGGCGCACGGGUGAGUAACACGUAUCCAACCUGCCGAUAACUCGGGGAUAGCCUUUCGAAAGAAAGAUUAAUACCCGAUGGUAUAAUAAAGCCGCGUGGUUUAAUUAUUAAAGAAUUUCGGUUAUCGAUGGGGAUGCGUUCCAUUAGGCAGUUGGUGAGGUAACGGCUCACCAAACCUUCGAUGGAUAGGGGUUCUGAGAGGAAGGUCCCCCACAUUGGAACUGAGACACGGUCCAA